UGGGGAAUAUUGCGCAAUGGGGGCAACCCUGACGCAGCCAUGCCGCGUGAAUGAAGAAGGCCUUCGGGUUGUAAAGUUCUUUCGGUGACGAGGAAGGCGUGAUGUUUAAUAGGCAUCACGAUUGACGUUAAUCACAGAAGAAGCACCGGCUAACUCCGUGCCAGCAGCCGCGGUAAUACGGAGGGUGCGAGCGUUAAUCGGAAUAACUGGGCGUAAAGGGCACGCAGGCGGACUUUUAAGUGAGGUGUGAAAUCCCCGGGCUUAACCUGGGAAUUGCAUUUCAGACUGGGGGUCUAGAGUACUUUAGGGAGGGGUAGAAUUCCACGUGUAGCGGUGAAAUGCGUAGAGAUGUGGAGCAAUACCGAAGGCGAAGGCAGCCCCUUGGGAAUGUACUGACGCUCAUGUGCGAAAGCGUGGGGAGCAAACAGGAUUAGAUACCCUGGUAGUCCACGCUGUAAACGCUGUCGAUUUGGGGAUUGGGCCUUGAGCUUGGUGCCCGAAGCUAACGUGAUAAAUCGACCGCCUGGGGAGUACGGCCGCAAGGUUA
RNAcentral lists this ribosomal RNA (547 nucleotides) under uncultured bacterium. Its description in RNAcentral is "bacterial SSU rRNA". It matches the Rfam family "Bacterial small subunit ribosomal RNA", at positions 355 to 896 of the family's 1533-position model. The record is from RNAcentral.